RNAcentral lists this ribosomal RNA (501 nucleotides) under uncultured bacterium. RNAcentral's name for it is "partial 16S ribosomal RNA". It matches the Rfam family "Bacterial small subunit ribosomal RNA", at positions 29 to 523 of the family's 1533-position model. The record is from RNAcentral.
AUUGAACGCUGGCGGCAUGCCUUACACAUGCAAGUCGAACGGCAGCACGGGUGCUUGCACCUGGUGGCGAGUGGCGAACGGGUGAGUAAUACAUCGGAACGUACCUUAUCGUGGGGGAUAACGCAGCGAAAGCUGUGCUAAUACCGCAUACGCCCUGAGGGGGAAAGCGGGGGAGCGCAAGACCUCGCGCGAUUAGAGCGGCCGAUGCCUGAUUAGCUUGUUGGUGGGGUAAAAGCCCACCAAGGCGACGAUCAGUAGCUGGUCUGAGGGGACGACCAGCCACACUGGGACUGAGACACGGCCCAGACUCGUACGGGAGGCAGCAGUGGGGAAUUUUGGACAAUGGGGGCAACCCUGAUCCAGCAAUGCCGCGUGAGUGAAGAAGGCCUUCGGGUUGUAAAGCUCUUUUGUCAGGGAAGAAACACCGGCUCUAACACAGUCCGGGAAUGACGGUACCUGAAGAAUAAGCACCGGCUAACUACGUGCCAGAAGCCGCCGUAA